RNA transcript from Homo sapiens (human), 3630 nucleotides. It is a transcript of the gene named bone morphogenetic protein 1, with no coding region annotated. The record is from RefSeq and is marked reviewed. The transcript has 20 exons. NCBI's taxonomy places the organism in Eukaryota, Metazoa, Chordata, Mammalia, Primates, Hominidae.
AGUGCGCCGCUUCCCUCGCCGCCGCCCCGCCAGCAUGCCCGGCGUGGCCCGCCUGCCGCUGCUGCUCGGGCUGCUGCUGCUCCCGCGUCCCGGCCGGCCGCUGGACUUGGCCGACUACACCUAUGACCUGGCGGAGGAGGACGACUCGGAGCCCCUCAACUACAAAGACCCCUGCAAGGCGGCUGCCUUUCUUGGGGACAUUGCCCUGGACGAAGAGGACCUGAGGGCCUUCCAGGUACAGCAGGCUGUGGAUCUCAGACGGCACACAGCUCGUAAGUCCUCCAUCAAAGCUGCAGUUCCAGGAAACACUUCUACCCCCAGCUGCCAGAGCACCAACGGGCAGCCUCAGAGGGGAGCCUGUGGGAGAUGGAGAGGUAGAUCCCGUAGCCGGCGGGCGGCGACGUCCCGACCAGAGCGUGUGUGGCCCGAUGGGGUCAUCCCCUUUGUCAUUGGGGGAAACUUCACUGGUAGCCAGAGGGCAGUCUUCCGGCAGGCCAUGAGGCACUGGGAGAAGCACACCUGUGUCACCUUCCUGGAGCGCACUGACGAGGACAGCUAUAUUGUGUUCACCUAUCGACCUUGCGGCUCGGGACCGCCCCCCUGAGCUGGCCCCGCCCUCCAGGUGCUGCUCCUACGUGGGUCGCCGCGGCGGGGGCCCCCAGGCCAUCUCCAUCGGCAAGAACUGUGACAAGUUCGGCAUUGUGGUCCACGAGCUGGGCCACGUCGUCGGCUUCUGGCACGAACACACUCGGCCAGACCGGGACCGCCACGUUUCCAUCGUUCGUGAGAACAUCCAGCCAGGGCAGGAGUAUAACUUCCUGAAGAUGGAGCCUCAGGAGGUGGAGUCCCUGGGGGAGACCUAUGACUUCGACAGCAUCAUGCAUUACGCUCGGAACACAUUCUCCAGGGGCAUCUUCCUGGAUACCAUUGUCCCCAAGUAUGAGGUGAACGGGGUGAAACCUCCCAUUGGCCAAAGGACACGGCUCAGCAAGGGGGACAUUGCCCAAGCCCGCAAGCUUUACAAGUGCCCAGCCUGUGGAGAGACCCUGCAAGACAGCACAGGCAACUUCUCCUCCCCUGAAUACCCCAAUGGCUACUCUGCUCACAUGCACUGCGUGUGGCGCAUCUCUGUCACACCCGGGGAGAAGAUCAUCCUGAACUUCACGUCCCUGGACCUGUACCGCAGCCGCCUGUGCUGGUACGACUAUGUGGAGGUCCGAGAUGGCUUCUGGAGGAAGGCGCCCCUCCGAGGCCGCUUCUGCGGGUCCAAACUCCCUGAGCCUAUCGUCUCCACUGACAGCCGCCUCUGGGUUGAAUUCCGCAGCAGCAGCAAUUGGGUUGGAAAGGGCUUCUUUGCAGUCUACGAAGCCAUCUGCGGGGGUGAUGUGAAAAAGGACUAUGGCCACAUUCAAUCGCCCAACUACCCAGACGAUUACCGGCCCAGCAAAGUCUGCAUCUGGCGGAUCCAGGUGUCUGAGGGCUUCCACGUGGGCCUCACAUUCCAGUCCUUUGAGAUUGAGCGCCACGACAGCUGUGCCUACGACUAUCUGGAGGUGCGCGACGGGCACAGUGAGAGCAGCACCCUCAUCGGGCGCUACUGUGGCUAUGAGAAGCCUGAUGACAUCAAGAGCACGUCCAGCCGCCUCUGGCUCAAGUUCGUCUCUGACGGGUCCAUUAACAAAGCGGGCUUUGCCGUCAACUUUUUCAAAGAGGUGGACGAGUGCUCUCGGCCCAACCGCGGGGGCUGUGAGCAGCGGUGCCUCAACACCCUGGGCAGCUACAAGUGCAGCUGUGACCCCGGGUACGAGCUGGCCCCAGACAAGCGCCGCUGUGAGGCUGCUUGUGGCGGAUUCCUCACCAAGCUCAACGGCUCCAUCACCAGCCCGGGCUGGCCCAAGGAGUACCCCCCCAACAAGAACUGCAUCUGGCAGCUGGUGGCCCCCACCCAGUACCGCAUCUCCCUGCAGUUUGACUUCUUUGAGACAGAGGGCAAUGAUGUGUGCAAGUACGACUUCGUGGAGGUGCGCAGUGGACUCACAGCUGACUCCAAGCUGCAUGGCAAGUUCUGUGGUUCUGAGAAGCCCGAGGUCAUCACCUCCCAGUACAACAACAUGCGCGUGGAGUUCAAGUCCGACAACACCGUGUCCAAAAAGGGCUUCAAGGCCCACUUCUUCUCAGACAAGGACGAGUGCUCCAAGGAUAACGGCGGCUGCCAGCAGGACUGCGUCAACACGUUCGGCAGUUAUGAGUGCCAAUGCCGCAGUGGCUUCGUCCUCCAUGACAACAAGCACGACUGCAAAGAAGCCGGCUGUGACCACAAGGUGACAUCCACCAGUGGUACCAUCACCAGCCCCAACUGGCCUGACAAGUAUCCCAGCAAGAAGGAGUGCACGUGGGCCAUCUCCAGCACCCCCGGGCACCGGGUCAAGCUGACCUUCAUGGAGAUGGACAUCGAGUCCCAGCCUGAGUGUGCCUACGACCACCUAGAGGUGUUCGACGGGCGAGACGCCAAGGCCCCCGUCCUCGGCCGCUUCUGUGGGAGCAAGAAGCCCGAGCCCGUCCUGGCCACAGGCAGCCGCAUGUUCCUGCGCUUCUACUCAGAUAACUCGGUCCAGCGAAAGGGCUUCCAGGCCUCCCACGCCACAGAGUGCGGGGGCCAGGUACGGGCAGACGUGAAGACCAAGGACCUUUACUCCCACGCCCAGUUUGGCGACAACAACUACCCUGGGGGUGUGGACUGUGAGUGGGUCAUUGUGGCCGAGGAAGGCUACGGCGUGGAGCUCGUGUUCCAGACCUUUGAGGUGGAGGAGGAGACCGACUGCGGCUAUGACUACAUGGAGCUCUUCGACGGCUACGACAGCACAGCCCCCAGGCUGGGGCGCUACUGUGGCUCAGGGCCUCCUGAGGAGGUGUACUCGGCGGGAGAUUCUGUCCUGGUGAAGUUCCACUCGGAUGACACCAUCACCAAAAAAGGUUUCCACCUGCGAUACACCAGCACCAAGUUCCAGGACACACUCCACAGCAGGAAGUGACCACUGCCUGAGCAGGGGCGGGGACUGGAGCCUGCUGCCCUUGGUCGCCUAGACUGGAUAGUGGGGGUGGGCGGAAGGCAACGCACCAUCCCUCUCCCCCAGGCCCCAGGACCUGCAGGGCCAAUGGCCUGGUGAGACUGUCCAUAGGAGGUGGGGGAACUGGACUCCGGCAUAAGCCACUUCCCCACAAACCCCCACCAGCAAGGGGCUGGGGCCAGGGAGCAGAGCUUCCACAAGACAUUUCGAAGUCAUCAUUCCUCUCUUAGGGGGCCCUGCCUGGUGGCAAGAGGGAAUGUCAGCAGGACCCCAUCGCCAUCCCUGUGUCUCUACACGCUGUAUUGUGUAUCACCGGGGGCAUUAUUUUCAUUGUAAUGUUCAUUUCCCACCCCUGCUCCAGCCUCGAUUUGGUUUUAUUUUGAGCCCCCAUUCCACCACCCCAGUUUCCUGGGGCACAAGUGUCUGUGCAUGUCCCCCAGGAGCCACCGUGGGGAGCCGAUGGGGAGGGGAUGGAGAAACAAGACAGGGCUUCUCUCAGGCCCAGUGGCCGGUCAGCCACACCAGGGCACCGCAGCCAAUAAACCGAAAGUGUUACAGCCAA